Molecule: ribosomal RNA, 496 nt
Filed under: uncultured bacterium
Lineage: Bacteria
Description: partial 16S ribosomal RNA
Rfam family: Bacterial small subunit ribosomal RNA
Source: RNAcentral
AUGAACGCUGGCGGCGUGCCUAAUACAUGCAAGUCGCGCGAACAGACGAGGAGCUUGCUCCUCUGACGUUAGCGGCGGACGGGUGAGUAACACGUGGAUAACCUACCUAUAAGACUGGGAUAACUUCGGGAAACCGGAGCUAAUACCGGAUAAUAUAUUGAACCGCAUGGUUCAAUAGUGAAAGACGGUUUUGCUGUCACUUAUAGAUGGAUCCGCGCCGCAUUAGCUAGUUGGUAAGGUGACGGCUUACCAAGGCAACGAUGCGUAGCCGACCUGAGAGGGUGAUCGGCCACACUGGAACUGAGACACGGUCCAGACUCCUACGGGAGGCAGCAGUAGGGAAUCUUCCGCAAUGGGCGAAAGCCUGACGGAGCAACGCCGCGUGAGUGAUGAAGGUCUUCGGAUCGUAAAACUCUGUUAUUAGGGAAGAACAAAUGUGUAAGUAACUAUGCACGUCUUGACGGUACCUAAUCAGAAAGCCACGGCUAACUACGUG